RNAcentral lists this ribosomal RNA (438 nucleotides) under uncultured bacterium. Its description in RNAcentral is "bacterial SSU rRNA". It matches the Rfam family "Bacterial small subunit ribosomal RNA", at positions 340 to 773 of the family's 1533-position model. The record is from RNAcentral.
UACGGGAGGCAGCAGGGGGAAUAUUGCACAAUGGGCGCAAGCCUGAUGCAGCCAUGCCGCGUGUAUGAAGAAGGCCUUCGGGUUGUAAAGUACUUUCAGUCGUGAGGAAGGUGUUAAGGUUAAUAGCCUUAGCAAUUGACGUUAGCGACAGAAGAAGCACCGGCUAACUCCGUGCCAGCAGCCGCGGUAAUACGGAGGGUGCGAGCGUUAAUCGGAAUUACUGGGCGUAAAGGGCACGCAGGCGGUUAAUUAAGUUGGAUGUGAAAUCCCCGGGCUUAACCUGGGAAUGGCAUUCAAGACUGGUUAGCUAGAGUCUUGUAGAGGGGGUAGAAUUCCAUGUGUAGCGGUGAAAUGCGUAGAGAUGUGGAGGAAUACCGGUGGCGAAGGCGGCCCCUGGACAAAGACUGACGCUCAUGUGCGAAAGCGUGGGGAGCAAAC